Long non-coding RNA from Cebus imitator (Panamanian white-faced capuchin), 617 nucleotides. RefSeq lists it as uncharacterized. The record is from RefSeq and is a predicted model, not a curated record. NCBI's taxonomy places the organism in Eukaryota, Metazoa, Chordata, Mammalia, Primates, Cebidae. The transcript is spliced from 2 exons.
CCUGGCCUGUGGAGGCUUUUAAUUCUCAAAAUAUUGUGUCUUAGUGACUAGUGGAGGAGAUGAACCUGCUGACCUCCUGGCACAGAGAAGCCUCUUGACAGUGGGCUUUGGUCACAGAGAUGGGCAUUCUGAUGAAAGUUUGUACUUGGUCAUAUAGCUGGGCCUUGUGUUUGGCAUCAUCACCUGCCUGGGCCCAGGAUGGCACACAAGCUGGGUGGCGAGCUGGGUACACCACCAUGACUCAGCAUCAUCUCAAAGGUUGAGUAAUAUUUGAAUGGCCUCUUCUGCCUAUUGUUGCCUUGGUGAAUGGUACUCCUUGGUAUAGAUUUAUGGUCAGGAUGGAGUUCUAAGGCACUAUUUCUUUGACUGUCAUUCUCCUAUGAAACCCCUAGAUCUCACUAACCCCAAACACUGAGUCUUUAUUGAAACCAGAAUGGACCCUAAUGAGAAUGGGUACGAGACAGCGAUAAGCCUGGCAGGGUGGCUCAUGCCUGUAAUCCCAGCACUUUGAGAGGCUGGGGCAGGGGGAUCACUUGAGCUCAGGAGUUUUGAGAGUAGCCUGGGCAAUACAGGAAGAACUUGUUUCUUACCAAAAAAAGUAACAACAACAACAACAA